RNAcentral lists this ribosomal RNA (192 nucleotides) under uncultured bacterium. RNAcentral describes it as "partial 16S ribosomal RNA". It matches the Rfam family "Bacterial small subunit ribosomal RNA", at positions 464 to 656 of the family's 1533-position model. The record is from RNAcentral.
CGAUAAUGACGGUACCCGAAGAAGAAGCUGCGGCUAACUACGUGCCAGCAGCCGCGGUAAUACGUAGGCAGCGAGCGUUGUUCGGAAUUACUUGGGCGUAAAGAGUGUGUAGGCGGUGUUCUAAGUCUGUUGUGAAAUCUCCCGGUUAACUGGGAGGGUGCGGGGAGACUGGAAUGCUAGAGUAUGGGAGAG